Molecule: ribosomal RNA, 492 nt
Filed under: uncultured bacterium
Lineage: Bacteria
Description: partial 16S ribosomal RNA
Rfam family: Bacterial small subunit ribosomal RNA
Source: RNAcentral
AGUGAACGCUGGCGGUAGGCCUAACACAUGCAAGUCGAACGGCAGCACAGUAAGAGCUUGCUCUUACGGGUGGCGAGUGGCGGACGGGUGAGGAAUACAUCGGAAUCUACUUUUUCGUGGGGGAUGACGUAGGGAAACUUACGCUAAUACCGCAUACGACCUACGGGUGAAAGCAGGGGAUCUUCGGACCUUGCGCGAUUGAAUGAGCCGAUGUCGGAUUAGCUAGUUGGCGGGGUAAAGGCCCACCAAGGCGACGAUCCGUAGCUGGUCUGAGAGGAUGAUCAGCCACACUGGAACUGAGACACGGUCCAGACUCCUACGGGAGGCAGCAGUGGGGAAUAUUGGACAAUGGGCGCAAGCCUGAUCCAGCCAUACCGCGUGGGUGAAGAAGGCCUUCGGGUUGUAAAGCCCUUUUGUUGGGAAAGAAAAGCAGCAGGUUAAUACCCCGAUGUUCUGACGGUACCCAAAGAAUAAGCACCGGCUAACUUCGUG